GAUGAACGCUGGCGGCGUGCCUAACACAUGCAAGUCGAGCGAUUCUCUUCGGAGAAGAGCGGCGGACGGGUGAGUAACGCGUGGGUAACCUACCCUGUACACACGGAUAACAUACCGAAAGGUAUGCUAAUACGGGAUGAUAUAUAGAAAUCGCAUGAUUUUUAUAUCAAAGAUUUAUCGGUACAGGAUGGACCCGCGUCUGAUUAGCUUGUUGGCGGGGUAACGGCCCACCAAGGCGACGAUCAGUAGCCGACCUGAGAGGGUGAUCGGCCACAUUGGAACUGAGACACGGUCCAAACUCCUACGGGAGACAGCAGUGGGGAAUAUUGCACAAUGGGCGCAAGCCUGAUGCAGCAACGCCGCGUGAGCGAUGAAGGCCUUCGGGUCGUAAAGCUCUGUCCUCAAGGAAGAUAAUGAC
RNAcentral lists this ribosomal RNA (418 nucleotides) under uncultured bacterium. RNAcentral describes it as "bacterial SSU rRNA". It matches the Rfam family "Bacterial small subunit ribosomal RNA", at positions 28 to 455 of the family's 1533-position model. The record is from RNAcentral.